UUUUAGUCUUUAUCUUCAUAAUUCAAAAAAUUAGAAAAUUUCAAGACCUUUCUCUCUCUGUUUAAGGUCGGCCGCACCAAGAAAAUUAAGGGAGUUUAGGAUUUUCUAGUAGUUUAGAUCAAGUUAAGAGUUAUUUGAGUAGGAUUUUAAAGUUUAACUUAAGGUAUAAGCUAGAACCGAAUUGGGAUGAGUCUAAAGCUAAUGGUGAAGAUUAUACAUAUCAAGAUGGUUAGACCUGGAGCGUUCAUGGUCUUCGGGACAAUUUAGGCUCACCUUUUUAAUAGUCAGUUAAUGUAAGUAUUAUGUAGACUUAUGUAAAUUUUAACGGGAUCGCAGACUUAUAUAAAUUAUGUUUUUUUUUU
This is a long non-coding RNA of Cannabis sativa, 362 nucleotides long. RefSeq lists it as uncharacterized. The record is from RefSeq and is a predicted model, not a curated record. Lineage: Eukaryota; Viridiplantae; Streptophyta; Magnoliopsida; Rosales; Cannabaceae. The transcript is spliced from 2 exons.